CGGGGGGAGCAAGCGUUGUUCGGAUUUACUGGGCGUAAAGGGCGCGUAGGCGGCCACCGCAAGUCGACUGUGAAAUCUCUGGGCUUAACCCAGAACGGUCAGCCGAUACUGCGGGGCUAGAGUGCAGAAGGGGCAACUGGAAUUCUCGGUGUAGCGGUGAAAUGCGUAGAUAUCGAGAGGAACACCUGCGGCGAAGGCGGGUUGCUGGGCUGACACUGACGCUGAGGCGCGAAAGCUAGGGGAGCGAACGGGAUUAGAUACCCCGGUAGUCCUAGCCUUAAACGAUGAAUGCUCGGUGUCUGGGGUUUUAUAGUCCCCGGGUGCCGUCGCUAACGCUUUAAGCAUUCCGCCUGGGGAGUACGGUCGCAAGACUG
This 374-nucleotide ribosomal RNA is filed under the name uncultured organism. Its description in RNAcentral is "bacterial SSU rRNA". It matches the Rfam family "Bacterial small subunit ribosomal RNA", at positions 526 to 896 of the family's 1533-position model. The record is from RNAcentral.